Molecule: transfer RNA, 74 nt
Filed under: Dactylosporangium sucinum
Lineage: Bacteria; Bacillati; Actinomycetota; Actinomycetes; Micromonosporales; Micromonosporaceae
Description: tRNA-Trp
Rfam family: tRNA
About the family: Transfer RNA (tRNA) molecules are approximately 80 nucleotides in length. Their secondary structure includes four short double-helical elements and three loops (D, anti-codon, and T loops).
Source: RNAcentral
ACGGGUGUAGCUCAAUCGGUAGAGCACCGGCCUCCAAAUCCGACGGUUGCGGGUUCGAUUCCUGCCGCCCGUGC